RNAcentral lists this small RNA (1663 nucleotides) under Arabidopsis thaliana (thale cress). RNAcentral describes it as "ATSL099060". The record is from RNAcentral. Lineage: Eukaryota; Viridiplantae; Streptophyta; Magnoliopsida; Brassicales; Brassicaceae.
AAUUUUUUUUGGUAAAUUUUGGUUUAACCGCUAUCGUACCCGCUGAUCAACCAGUCGUAAAUCUUCUGCAAACGCACAUGUUUUCAACCGCUAAACCAAUCGGUCAAAACGCUAAAUAACGCUUGAAACCGCAAUUGCCCAUUUCCGCAAACUCCCACAACCGCUGCGUUUAAACGAGUCAAGCCCUUAAUGUUUCUGUGGCAAUUUCUUUGUUGGUUGGUACACGCAUGUCAAUUAAUUGGACUAAUCCAAUACGGCCGGACUUGCAGGUUCAACAUGAUUCACUCCGUACCGGUUUUUUUUCUUAAACACAAAUGAAAAGCGAAACCAUUUGCAUCUGUGAUAAUGAGAUUGUAACUUUGUAAGACACAUUCAAGAACCUAUUUUCUGCAACUAAGGAAUAAAAAGCAAAUCACUUGGACACUAAACACACUCUUCAAUCGUAGGCAGAACAGACUUUCAUAGGCCUCUUAGCAGAGCACAAAAUAAGCUAACCAUCAGAGUGUUAUAAGUGAAAUGAUGCCUAUUGUAUUAAUGUCAAAACACACUGAAUCAUACAACAAAACCAAAUAACCCACAAUCACUAGAGAUUCACCACAUUAAGCCUUCUCACAAGUCAAUUCAUCAAAGUAGUAGUAAUAGUAAGAGCAUAGAGGCCCGAUUCAGUUAAUUAUUGGACAUAUUUCUCAAUAGUUUGAAAAAAAAUAUAUAUAAACAGAAUUUAAAUUUUUUGGGUUUUUUCUAAUUUGUUUCAAUACAAAUUAGCCUAAAUACUGAAGAAAAAUGUCAAAAUUAUAUUGGACCCUAUUCAAAGUUCCAAUUGCACAGCCCAAUAAUCGGGCCUGAGCGCACAAACAAAAUCAUAAAAAAGAAGGACUGUACUAAGAACAUCAUCAGCCCACUCAAUCUUUCCCCAAAUCUCUUGAGUACUUCGUCUUUCAAGCGCAAUCACAACACACUAAAUCAUUUUGUUUCUACAUGAAGGAACGCACUUAUCCCACAAAAGAGUCAUCUUUCCACUAUAAUCUACCAAUCUAACACAACCAUCAUCGUCAAACACUGGCAGACCUUCCUAACCCUUCAAAGAUUCCCAGUAUCUUGUUUUAGAGUUGAAGCAUUGGAUUUUUGGUAAAUCAAUACAACGAUAUAACACAUUUUGUAUACCAUAGCAAGAAAGUAAGUUCCAUCAUGUUUCCAAAUAAUGCAGCAUUCCUAUAGCUUUCCAUCUAUCUUCUUUUGCCUUGUAAGCCACGCGAUUUUGCACAACCACAUACUUUUGUCCUUUAAUCACUAUCCUCUUCGAGAUCAGAGUUUUGUAUUUCUCUUCAAAAGGGUACAACAUAUGCUCCCAAGUUUGGAGUUUUGGAUCCGAAACGUUAGCCUAAUUGGUGGAAUUGAAGAGUCUGAAACAUCUUGCUACAAAUAUUUCUCCAUGACUAAUAUUGGCAGAUGGGUAAUAUUGCUUUACCCACACAUUAGGAGCUUCACGCCACGUGUUAGAUCGGUAGUCUGAUUCACCGUCCGGAUCGGAUUUAAAAACAUUAGUUUUAAAUUUGUCGGAUAUUAAUACUAAACUCAAACUAAAAAUGGAUCACGGGUUAACCGGUCAGACCGAACGAUCUGGAUCGAGCAUGAAAACACUGGUCUAUUGGAAAGCUAGUGU